CCAGACUCCUACGGGAGGCAGCAGUGAGGAAUAUUGGUCAAUGGUCGGGAGACUGAACCAGCCAAGCCGCGUGAGGGAGGAAGGUACCGAGUAUCGUAAACCUCUUUUGUCAGGGAACAAAGACUGGGACGCGUCCCCGGAUGAGUGUACCUGAAGAAAAAGCAUCGGCUAACUCCGUGCCAGCAGCCGCGGUAAUACGGAGGAUGCGAGCGUUAUCCGGGUUUAUUGGGUUUAAAGGGUGCGCAGGCGGUGCGGUAAAGCCGGCGGGAAACGCCGGGGCCCCACCCCGGGCCCGCCGUUGAAACUGGCAGUCUCGAGUUGGAGAGAAGUAUGCGGAAUGCGCGGUGUAGCGGUGAAAUGCAUAGAUAUCGCGCAGAACUCCGAUUGCGAAGGCAGCAUGCCGGCUCCACACUGACGCUGAGGCACGAAAGCGUGGGUAUCGAACAGGAUUAGAUACCCGUGUAG
This 465-nucleotide ribosomal RNA is filed under the name uncultured bacterium. RNAcentral describes it as "bacterial SSU rRNA". It matches the Rfam family "Bacterial small subunit ribosomal RNA", at positions 331 to 793 of the family's 1533-position model. The record is from RNAcentral.